Molecule: ribosomal RNA, 407 nt
Filed under: uncultured bacterium
Lineage: Bacteria
Description: partial 16S ribosomal RNA
Rfam family: Bacterial small subunit ribosomal RNA
Source: RNAcentral
AUUGAACGCUGGCGGCAGGCCUAACACAUGCAAGUCGAACGGAGUGGCGGGCGGGUGAGUAAUGUCUGGGACACUGCCUGAUGGAGGGGGAUAAAGUCCGGAAACGGGCGCUAAUACCGCAUACUAUCAGAUGAGCCUAGGUCGGAUUAGCUAGUUGGUGGGGUAAAGGCCUACCAGGGCGACGAUCCGUAACUGGUCUGAUAGGAUGAUCAGCAACAUUGGAACUGAGACACGGUCCAGACUCCUACGGGAGGCAGCAGUAGGGAAUAUUGGGCAAUGGGCGAAAGCCUGAUCCAGCCAUGCCGCGUGUGUGAAGAAGGUCUUCGGAUUGUAAAGCACUUGAAGUUGGGAGGCGGUACCAUCAGAAUAAGCACCGGCUAACUUCGUGCCAGCAGCCGCGGUAAUAC